ACGAGUGGCGGACGGGUGAGUAAUGUCUGGGAAACUGCCUGAUGGAGGGGGAUAACUACUGGAAACGGUAGCUAAUACCGCGUAACGUCGCAAGACCAAAGAGGGGGACCUUCGGGCCUCUUGCCAUCGGAUGUGCCCAGAUGGGAUUAGCUAGUAGGUGGGGUAACGGCUCACCUAGGCGACGAUCCCUAGUUGGUCUGAGAGGAUGACCAGCCACACUGGAACUGAGACACGGUCCAGACUCCUACGGGAGGCAGCAUG
Molecule: ribosomal RNA, 261 nt
Filed under: uncultured bacterium
Lineage: Bacteria
Description: partial 16S ribosomal RNA
Rfam family: Bacterial small subunit ribosomal RNA
Source: RNAcentral